Molecule: non-coding RNA, 18 nt
Filed under: Xenopus tropicalis (tropical clawed frog)
Lineage: Eukaryota; Metazoa; Chordata; Amphibia; Anura; Pipidae
Also listed under: 2 other names
Source: RNAcentral
GUCCCACCAGAGUCGCCA